This 439-nucleotide ribosomal RNA is filed under the name uncultured bacterium. RNAcentral describes it as "partial 16S ribosomal RNA". It matches the Rfam family "Bacterial small subunit ribosomal RNA", at positions 339 to 795 of the family's 1533-position model. The record is from RNAcentral.
CUACGGGGGGCUCCAGUGGGGAAUAUUGCACAAUGGGCGCAAACCUGAUGCAGCAACGCCGCGUGAACGAUGAAGGUCUUCGGAUCGUAAAGUUCUUUUCUUAGGGAAGAAAAAUGACGGUACCUAAGGAAUAAGCACCGGCUAAAUACGUGCCAGCAGCCGCGGUAAUACGUAUGGUGCAAGCGUUAUCCGGAAUCACUGGGCGUAAAGGGAGCGUAGGCGGUUUUGCAAGUCAGAAGUGAAAGGCUACGGCUCAACCGUGGUAAGCUUUUGAAACUGCAAGACUAGAGUGCAGGAGAGGCAAGUGGAAUUCCUAGUGUAGAGGUGAAAUUCGUAGAUAUUAGGAGGAACACCAGUGGCGAAGGCGACUUGCUGGACUGUAACUGACGCUGAGGCUCGAAAGCGUGGGGAGCGAACAGGAUUAGAUACCCCCGUAGUC